This 253-nucleotide ribosomal RNA is filed under the name uncultured bacterium. RNAcentral describes it as "partial 16S ribosomal RNA". It matches the Rfam family "Bacterial small subunit ribosomal RNA", at positions 524 to 776 of the family's 1533-position model. The record is from RNAcentral.
UACGAAGGGGGCGAGCGUUGUUCGGAAUUACUGGGCGUAAAGGGCGCGUAGGCGGCACGGCAAGUCGGGAGUGAAAGGCCUGGGCUCAACCGAGGAACUGCUUUCGAGACUGCCGAGCUAGAGUGCGGAAGGGGCAACCGGAAUUCCCAGUGUAGCGGUGAAAUGCGUAGAUAUUGGGAAGAACACCUGAGGCGAAGGCGGGUUGCUGGGCCGACACUGACGCUGAGGCGCGAAAGCCAGGGGAGCAAACGGG